AUCAGCGUAUGUAGAAUGUUGUUACAGUACUGCUGAUUGAUUUGUAUGAAGAUCUGACAUACGGUGUGGAAAAAAAACUGCUUUUUUCGUUUGCGAAUUUUGCGCAUUCUCUGUGCAACCUUAAUCUAAAGGCUUUUGCAUUUCAGUCAGCUCGUUAUGGCGCACUACUAAUUGAAGUGAUUUGGCUUUAAUUUUCUAGUGAUUUACAAUUUGCAUCACCACUGUUCACAUCUAUUGAAAUAUAAUAGCUUGCACUUGUUUACAAAUGUCAAAACACGCACGGGCUCAAAAGUAUAAUGAUGGCAAUUCGCAAUCCAAGCUGUGAUCCGACCUUUCCUUUCGAUAUUAUUCGACUUCUAGAUCGUCAAUAUCCUCCGUCAAACAAAAAUGCAACGGCGACAACUGUAGUUGGCCGUAAUAAUCGUAAGCAGGCAUUUGGUAGAUCGCUCCAUGGACAACCGUGCUCGAUAAAUGGAGAGCUUCCUUUCCAAUGCGAUCAACCUUUUUGAUGGAGCCCAACUUCUGGAGGAGCUGAAGAAAUCUAAGCUGUGGAACCUAAUUAAAUCCGAACACAGACACCAACUAUUUGACGUGGAUUAUCAACUGCUGGAUUUAAGCACCGAGGUGAACACGACGUGAACCGAAGACUUUUUUUAAAAUUGGUGAACGGUAGAAACAAAUGGCUUCAUAAAGAUAGUGAUAUUUGAAUAUUUGUUCAUUUGUGAAUAUCGACUGUAUAUAUAUUAAUGUCGUUUUCGAUUGAGACCCUAGAAACAAACCCAUGUUAGUUGCUUCAAACGAACGUAUUUAAUUGAACUGAGCUGAGUUUUCGCCAAACAGCGGUGGUGUGAGCGAACCCGAAAUAUAUUUCAGGUUAGAACCCAACCAGGUUUUCAGUUCAGCGGCGCAUAACCUAGGUUGGAAACUGGCUUCAAACACCGGUUAGGUCCGAAGCUGAGUUUGUUUCUGCCUCAAGCGAAAACGACAUAAGAAACAUGUAAAAUAUAAAUUUAAAUGUACAUUUUAA
Long non-coding RNA from Topomyia yanbarensis, 1027 nucleotides. RefSeq lists it as uncharacterized. The transcript is spliced from 4 exons. The record is from RefSeq and is a predicted model, not a curated record. NCBI's taxonomy places the organism in Eukaryota, Metazoa, Arthropoda, Insecta, Diptera, Culicidae.